UUUCCGUAGGUGAACCUGCGGAAGGAUCAUUAGUGAAUAUUAGUGCGUCUACUUCGGUAGUGCCUGACUUCCACUUUCUAACUCUGUGCACUUAUGUGGCGGAAAAUGGAAUUAGUAAUCUGUCUAAUGACGAUUGCGACUUCUUACUUUCUGCGGCCUACUUUAAACACUAGUCAAAGUAUGUAACGAAAUAUCGAAACAAAUAAAAACUUUCGACAACGGAUCUCUUGGCUCUC
RNAcentral lists this unclassified non-coding RNA (236 nucleotides) under plant metagenome. RNAcentral describes it as "partial contains small subunit ribosomal RNA, internal transcribed spacer 1, and 5.8S ribosomal RNA". The record is from RNAcentral.